This 585-nucleotide ribosomal RNA is filed under the name Triticum aestivum (bread wheat). RNAcentral describes it as "partial small subunit ribosomal RNA". Lineage: Eukaryota; Viridiplantae; Streptophyta; Magnoliopsida; Poales; Poaceae. The record is from RNAcentral.
AUGAGACUCUUGCUUCCCUUUGAAAGAGGCAGACCCCUACUUCAAUUGUCAUCUGACGACUCUUCCCCAGCUGUGGACUCAGACCUCUCAAAAAAAAGAAAAUCAAAAUCAAACGAAUCAGAAUAUAACCAAUCUAUCGCCUUUGAUGACUCGUUGACAGCCUCCUCAACCCAAGCUUCCAUCUCCUGCUCUAGACAUCGGCGCUUGCCUGCACCAUUCCAUGAAAGGUGUAUGAAAGUGAGUUUGACUACGAACUCAAGGAUGCUGGGAACGAUAUCUUUUCGGGAAAUCACUCCCGUCGAGAGGCCCUCUUCCUCCCUUUUCUUGAAUCUGGGAGAGAGGCAAAAGAGAAGUCCAGAGAUACCUCGACCCUUUUAGGGAAAGGAGGGAGAUCGAAUGCGAGAUGGAGUCCCUGCCGAAUGGAAUGGACGUCCUUGGGGACAAUUGUGUAAGAUUUAAUUUACCAUAAAAUUGGACAGAAAAACUACUACAAAGAUCAUAAGAAACCCGGCUCAAAGUGAAUGGAGAGAGAACCCCUGCGCCUUGGAAGGAUCUGAAGCUGUUCAGACACUCAUAGACAAGUGA